GACCCCGCACAAGCGGUGGAUCAUGUUGUUUAAUUCGACGAUACGCGAAGAACCUUACCAGGCCUUGACAUACUCCGCAAAGCUUUAGAAAUAAAGUAGAGGUUAUCGGGGAUACAGGUGGUGCAUGGUUGUCGUCAGCUCGUGUCGUGAGAUGUUCGGUUAAGUCCGCUAACGAGCGCAACCCCUGUCUUUAGUUACUAACAUUAAGUUGAGCACUCUAGAGAGACUGCCCGAAAGGGAGGAAGGUCGGGAUGACGUCAAAUCAUCAUGCCCCUUACGGCCUGGGCUACAAACGUGAUACAAUGGCUGUUCACAAAGAGUCGCAAACCAGUGAUGGCAAGCUAAUCUCAAAAAAGCAGUCCCAGUUCAGAUUGAAGUCUGCAACUCGACUUCAUGAAGUCGGAAUCGCUAGUAAUCGCGAAUCAGAAUGUCG
RNAcentral lists this ribosomal RNA (433 nucleotides) under uncultured Mycoplasmatota bacterium. RNAcentral describes it as "bacterial SSU rRNA". It matches the Rfam family "Bacterial small subunit ribosomal RNA", at positions 920 to 1359 of the family's 1533-position model. The record is from RNAcentral. Lineage: Bacteria; Bacillati; Mycoplasmatota.